This 435-nucleotide ribosomal RNA is filed under the name uncultured bacterium. RNAcentral's name for it is "partial 16S ribosomal RNA". It matches the Rfam family "Bacterial small subunit ribosomal RNA", at positions 28 to 507 of the family's 1533-position model. The record is from RNAcentral.
GAUGAACGCUGGCGGUAUGCUUAACACAUGCAAGUCGAACGGACUCUUCGGAGUUAGUGGCGGACGGGUGAGUAACGCGUGAGAAUCUGGCUUUGGGUUCGGGACAACCACUGGAAACGGUGGCUAAUACCGGAUGUGCCGAGAGGUAAAAGAGAAAUUGCCUGGAGAUGAGCUCGCGUCUGAUUAGCUAGUUGGUGAGGUAAAGGCUCACCAAGGCAGCGAUCAGUAGCUGGUCUGAGAGGAUGACCUGCCACACUGGGACUGAGACACGGCCCAGACUCCUACGGGAGGAAGCAGUGGGGAAUUUUCCGCAAUGGGCGAAAGCCUGACGGAGCAAUACCGCGUGAGGGAAGAAGGCUCUUGGGGUGUAAACCUCUUUUCUUAGGGAAGAACAAAAUGACGGUACCUAAGGAAUCAGCAUCGGCUAACUCCGUG